UACGUAGGGUGCAAGCGUUAAUCGGAAUUACUGGGCGUAAAGCGUGCGCAGGCGGUUUUGUAAGUCUGUCGUGAAAUCCUCGGGCUCAACCUGAGAAUUGCGAUGGAGACUGCAAGGCUAGAAUCUGGCAGAGGGGGGUAGAAUUCCACGUGUAGCAGUGAAAUGCGUAGAGAUGUGGAGGAGCACCGAUGGCGAAGGCAGCCCCCUGGGUCAAGAUUGACGCUCAUGCACGAAAGCGUGGGGAGCAAACAGG
This 253-nucleotide ribosomal RNA is filed under the name uncultured bacterium. RNAcentral describes it as "partial 16S ribosomal RNA". It matches the Rfam family "Bacterial small subunit ribosomal RNA", at positions 524 to 776 of the family's 1533-position model. The record is from RNAcentral.